This is a non-coding RNA of Sus scrofa (pig), 837 nucleotides long. The record is from RefSeq and is a predicted model, not a curated record. NCBI's taxonomy places the organism in Eukaryota, Metazoa, Chordata, Mammalia, Artiodactyla, Suidae.
AGCCGGCAUGGACUGACUUAGCUUGAAUCCCUCGUGGGCCGCGCUGGGAUGAAAUGAGAACCAGGAGAUGUUGCAAGUCCUUGAAUCCCUACCCAGGUUCAUCCAGAGUGACAAGGUGCUGCAUCUGGGCCCCUCCUGACCGGAUGCCUGGCAGCCAGUGUCACCGCAUCAUGACUGACAGGCAGUGUGGGGCAUGGCACAGGGGGCCUGCUGAGAGGGGUGAAGACUGAGCCCUGAAGAAGACAGAGCAGGCUCUAACUGCAGCAGGUGCAGGCAAGUACUGGGAGUGCCUGGGUAUUUGUCCCCUAGAGGCCCAGGAUGUGGGUGUCAGGGCUGUGAGGGCUCUGCAGAUUCCAGACCUGAGACACCCCGCCCCCCCACCUUCUGAUUCUGGCUGCAGAUUCGGGAACCCAGAGAUACUCCCCUGCCCCCAGCUUCUUUUUCCUUGGAGGUCUCAGAACUCCCUGAAGUUUUUCUACUCAAGGUUGUGGCGGUGAAGGAUGGAGAUUAAAUAAAAUCAGGACAGGGGGCAGGGACAGGGGCAGGGGCUGGAAGCCCUUGGCUGUGGGUGGAUUCUGUCUUGUGCUGUUAGGGACGCAUCUACACGCAAGCUGAGCACUGGGUCUGCACCUGGACCGUUGUGGUGUGGGUUAUUCACAGCCUUGUUUAUACUCCACAGCUUCCACACUGUCACCUGGGAAGCACCUGGGCAAGCAGAUGGGGUCUCUGGGCAGAAAUGGGAAUUCCCUGUGGUGUUCAGUUGCUGAUAUGAUGCAUGAUGGGUUUCUUUACAUUGUGGUAAAAAAUAUAUAACAAAGUUCACCAGGAGUUCCUGCC